This 508-nucleotide ribosomal RNA is filed under the name uncultured bacterium. RNAcentral's name for it is "bacterial SSU rRNA". It matches the Rfam family "Bacterial small subunit ribosomal RNA", at positions 228 to 733 of the family's 1533-position model. The record is from RNAcentral.
GGCUCGCGGCCUAUCUGGUAGUGGUCGGGGUAAAUGCCCACCAAGGUGACGACGGGUAGCUGCUCUGAGAGGACGGCCAGCCACACUGAAAGUGAGACCCGGUCCAGACACAUACGGGUGGCAGCAGUCGAGAAUCUUUCGCAAUCGGGGCAACCUUUAUGGAGAGACGCCGCGUGGAGGAUAAGGUCUUCGGAUUGUAAAAUCCUGUCAUGCGUGAACAAGAUUGCCGGGCUAAUAACCCGAGCAAGUUGAUGGUAACGCAAGAGGAAGAGACGGCUAACUCUGGUCCCGCAGCCGCGGUAAUACAGAGGUCUCCAGCGUUUUUCGGAAUCACUGGGCGUAAAGGGUGCGUAGGUGGCGUGGUAAGUCAGAUGGGAAAGCCCGGAGCUCAACUUCGGAAUUGCAUCCGAUACUACCAGACUUAAGACGUAGGGGUGACUGGAAUUCUAGGUGUAUCGGUGAAUGCGCAGAUAUCGGGUGGAAUACCUCAGCCGUAGACAGGCCCGUG